AGUUUUAUAUUCAAAUAAUGAUUUUAAAUUGCAAGUUUAAAGGUACUUUUAGUUAAGGCUU
Molecule: transfer RNA, 61 nt
Filed under: Iolania perkinsi
Lineage: Eukaryota; Metazoa; Arthropoda; Insecta; Hemiptera; Cixiidae
Description: tRNA-Cys
Source: RNAcentral